ACGAACGCUGGCGGCGUGCUUAACACAUGCAAGUCGAACGGAAAGGCCCUGCUUUUGUGGGGUGCUCGAGUGGCGAACGGGUGAGUAACACGUGAGUAACCUGCCCUUGACUUUGGGAUAACUUCAGGAAACUGGGGCUAAUACCGGAUAGGAGCUCCUGCUGCAUGGUGGGGGGUGGAAAGUUUCGGCGGUUGGGGAUGGACUCGCGGCUUAUCAGCUUGUUGGUGGGGUAGUGGCUUACCAAGGCUUUGACGGGUAGCCGGCCUGAGAGGGUGACCGGCCACAUUGGGACUGAGAUACGGCCCAGACUCCUACGGGAGGCAGCAGUGGGGAAUAUUGCACAAUGGGCGGAAGCCUGAUGCAGCAACGCCGCGUGCGGGAUGACGGCCUUCGGGUUGUAAACCGCUUUCGCCUGUGACGAAGCGUGAGUGACGGUAAUGGGUAAAGAAGCACCGGCUAACUACAUG
This 467-nucleotide ribosomal RNA is filed under the name uncultured bacterium. RNAcentral's name for it is "partial 16S ribosomal RNA". It matches the Rfam family "Bacterial small subunit ribosomal RNA", at positions 29 to 507 of the family's 1533-position model. The record is from RNAcentral.